UACGUAGGUGGCAAGCGUUGUCCGGAUUUACUGGGUGUAAAGGGCGUGUAGCCGGGUUGACAGGUCAGAUGUGAAAUCCUGCGGCUUAACCGCAGAACUGCAUUUGAAACUGUUGAUCUUGAGUACUGGAGAGGCAGACGGAAUUCCUAGUGUAGCGGUGAAAUGCGUAGAUAUUAGGAGGAACACCAGUGGCGAAGGCGGUCUGCUGGACAGCAACUGACGGUGAGGCGCGAAAGCGUGGGGAGCAAACAGG
Molecule: ribosomal RNA, 253 nt
Filed under: uncultured bacterium
Lineage: Bacteria
Description: partial 16S ribosomal RNA
Rfam family: Bacterial small subunit ribosomal RNA
Source: RNAcentral